RNAcentral lists this ribosomal RNA (254 nucleotides) under uncultured bacterium. RNAcentral's name for it is "partial 16S ribosomal RNA". It matches the Rfam family "Bacterial small subunit ribosomal RNA", at positions 524 to 776 of the family's 1533-position model. The record is from RNAcentral.
CACGUAAGGGGCGAGCGUUGUCCGGAUUUAUUGGGCGUAAAGAGCUCGUAGGCGGCUCAGUAAGUCAGGUGUGAAAACUCCAGGCUCAACCUGGAGACGCCACCUGAUACUGCUGUGGCUAGAGUCCGGUAGGGGAGCAUGGAAUUCCUGGUGUAGCGGUGAAAUGCGCAGAUAUCAGGAGGAACACCAGUGGCGAAGGCGGUGCUCUGGGCCGGAACUGACGCUGAGGAGCGAAAGCGUGGGGAGCAAACAGG